This 72-nucleotide transfer RNA is filed under the name Stegodyphus mimosarum. It matches the Rfam family "tRNA". From Rfam's summary of the family: Transfer RNA (tRNA) molecules are approximately 80 nucleotides in length. Their secondary structure includes four short double-helical elements and three loops (D, anti-codon, and T loops). The record is from Rfam by way of RNAcentral. Lineage: Eukaryota; Metazoa; Arthropoda; Arachnida; Araneae; Eresidae.
GCCAUCGUUGUGUAACGGUAGCACACUCGAAUCGUAUUCGAGAGUUCCGUGGUUCGAGUCCUGGCGAGGACA